GCUCUCUGUCUCCAAGCUCAGGUUAACAUCUUCAGCUAGGCUGCUCUAGGAUUCAGGUGUUGGGCUCUUGGACAACAUCUACCAUGGCUCAGUGCAGAUGGCACCAGUGUAAAUACCGACUCCCUGAGAAGAGAAGGAGGAAGCAGUGUCCACAGUGGAGAGAAAGCCAAAGAAGGAGUGUGAAUUGCUAUUAUUACUACCACAAGAGUGUGUGAUUUGCUGAGGAAGCCCAUGUUUCUCUAUGGUACCACUGCCCUCUGCUUUCCACCUGCACCUCUGAAGGGACAGGACCAACCAGAACAUCUCUGCAACUUUACAUCUCAUGAGCCCCCCAAGCCCACCCAGUAUCAGCAACCUAUGAUCAAUAAAAUCUGAUCACUGCAGCACACAA
Phascolarctos cinereus (koala) is the source of this 391-nucleotide long non-coding RNA. RefSeq lists it as uncharacterized. NCBI's taxonomy places the organism in Eukaryota, Metazoa, Chordata, Mammalia, Diprotodontia, Phascolarctidae. The record is from RefSeq and is a predicted model, not a curated record.